This is a long non-coding RNA of Hemicordylus capensis (graceful crag lizard), 5021 nucleotides long. RefSeq lists it as uncharacterized. The transcript is spliced from 3 exons. NCBI's taxonomy places the organism in Eukaryota, Metazoa, Chordata, Lepidosauria, Squamata, Cordylidae. The record is from RefSeq and is a predicted model, not a curated record.
GCGGUGGCUGGCGACCACGUGGCAUGGAUAGCGCGCGCACGUGCGGAGAUUGAAAUGCCCAACGGCCGCGACGCCAUUUCCUCGAGCCCGGAGGGGCGGGGCGGAGGUGGCAGUUGAGGGGGGUUGCCGUUAGAAGGGAGUCCCCCUCGAGGGAGGGGCGGGGGUCCCUCCUCCUACACCCCCACCCCACCCCACCCCUCCCCUCAGUGAGCAGGCUGGGUGUAAAUAAUGGCCCCAACAGAGACCAGAAGCAGCAAGACUCUGAACAGGAGGAGGCGGAGGCGGAGGCGGAGGCGGAGACCCCCCUGCUUAGCCUUCCUCCUCCGCCGCCUAGCAGCCGCAGCAGCACACGGGGCCCACAAGAAGCCCCCCUCAGCUGCUGCUGCUGCUGCUGCUGCUGCUGCUCCAGCCUGCGUGAGGCACCCUCUGCUCCUGCCUGCCAAUGGCCACCAUUCCAGCAGGGCCAGCCCCCCCAGGGUUGAGUUAUGAAGAAGAAUUGCCCGUGAGGAGGAGAAAAAGGGGUCUGGGAGAGAACGCCGCCCCGAGAGUUCUGCCCUGUGCACAGAAGGCUGUCAUGAACCACCUUCCCCGGUGAGGCGUGGCGUGGAAGUAAUCCUAAGAAACUGAAAUGGGCAGGGGAGGGGUGGGUCAAGGCAAGGGGGAGAGCGAUCAUUCAUGGGCAAGCCCAGAUGUUCUGGACGCACCACCCCACGUGCCUCAACCUGCUCCCAGCUUGGGCGGACUUAUCUUCAUUUGCUUUCUACUUGCAGGGUAGCCCUAGCUUUUACUGGCAUUAGCCGCUUGGUGACGGGAAGCACGGUGGUGUGCCACUUUGCCCAAUGGAAGACUCUCCAGCGAACUGGCAGAAGAGAGGCCAAGCAGCCAGAGCAAGAACAGGAAUGUGGCAGCACCAUGAGCAGGCCCAAGGGGAAGGCUCCCAGCAGAGAAGAGGGGGCCAGCCGGAAGAGGCAGAGGUCACGGGGAGAGACUUCUCUGAAUGACACACUCUGAAUGCCAGGUGCAGCCACGUCCAGCGGGGAUCUUCCUGCAGACAGAACUCUGGGGUGUUGGGGGCACUUGCCCCUCACUGCUUCCUCACCCCCAGGUUGCCGCUGGAAGGUGGGCCCGUCUAUGGAUGUCCCCUGCCCCCGAAGCCAUGGGACAGAUCAGACCGUGGCUCUUCCCAAGGCUCUGAGUGUUGGGAUCCUCACAUUUAGUUCUGAGUGUCAUCAGUGGCACGGUUUGUGAAGAGAAGUUCUAAGGAACUGGAGCUGUCACCAGGACAAGGAGAAGAGCGGAGACAUAGCAGAAGCCUCCUGACAGAGGCCAGAUAUAGGUGUGUUUGGUGGUGCCCUGCAGACGCCGCUCUCUUGCCUCUACUGUGUUGCCACUGCACCUGAAGCCACAGCCCUUGGGAAGGAUCAGGUGGCUGCUGUUCCCAAGGGCAAAAGGCGGGAGGCUUCAGCAGUGAGUGGCAGGCCAGAAGUUGACCACUGCUCGAUUCCAAAAUGUGCAGCUUGUUUGGAGAAGGCUGGAGAUCUCUCCAAGGCAAGCCAGGAGGACAGGACUUUGCUCGAAAACAGUAGUCCCUCAGGAUGAGGUCCGUCACCAUGGCAGGGCGUCGGGAGACUGUCACCUCUCCCCCACAGCGGGCUGCAUUUGCUGGGAACCACAGCCCAAAGCGUCAGGGAUUGUGUCAGAGUUACAAGAUUUUGGCAUGCAGUGGAAAAUGAAAUAGUAACGAAAUUUAGAGUUUUGAUAACGCUUAAUAUAGAAUUGAGACGACUGCUUUUGUUUACUGGAAAGAAUAUAUAAUUGGAUAACAAGGUUUUGUUAAGGUUACAUAUUAGCAGCUCAAGCAUUAAUUACUCGUAAUUGGAAAACCGCUGAAAAUCUUCAUAUCAGUAAUUGGUAUAAAAUAAUAUGGGAAUAUAUGCUUGAAGAACACAUUUUAAUUCGCUGUAAUUAUAUGUGACAAAACCUAAACAGAUAUGAUUUUAAGCAAGUAUGGAAACCAAUUAUAAAUACAGUGGAGACAAAUAGGGUUGAUUAUAAUCCGAGUAAGAGAAAAGAAGGCACCAUUCUCUUCUCUAUUGGAAACAACAAGCACUGGAUAUAAGAGGCUGAGAAGAAGAAGAAGAAAGAAGAUUCCAAAGCCAGCAGCACUGAAGUGGAGUCCAAGAUGAGGAGUGAAGAGGGAGAAGAAGAAAGAAGCCGGAAAAGAGGAAAGCAAGAUUAACCUGCAGGACAGAGAGGAGAGGAGAGAAGUCCAAAUAGUCUUUGUGUUGCAUGAUAGGAAAAGAAGGAUAGAAGACCAUAGUACUGCAAAGGAAACCAUUUUUUUCAAGGGCUUACCUUCAACCAUCAGCUGAUGAGGCUUCAUUUUUGGCCAGGCCCCUUCAUCAUGGCAGGGAGUGUCGGAGAGACCUAGUGGAAGGCCCCCUCCAGCAGCGCGAAGGGUGUAUUUGGUGGGACCCUUCCACCGCUGCUGCCCGGCACCGGAGGAUCAGGCCGAGGGCGAGGCCUCGCACCAUAAGACACGACCCCAGGGGAGGAGCAGGUGGUGGUCUCUCUCCCCCAGGGCGUGUCUUCGGGCAGGAGCGUGGUGGCGGUGGAUGGGCCACAGAGCUGGAGGGGAGCGGCGGAGUCCCCCAGGAGGAAGGGGCUGGCUCUGCCUUGGGGAGCCUCAGCGCUUGGAUAGAUAGCGCUGGCAACAGGUCGGGCCUCUGCUGAGCCUCUGGCGGGUGCCAGGAUGAUGGUAAGGGCUUCAGCAGAGGCCGGCCCAUCGCGGUCAGGGCCUUCUUCCGGGGGUGGUUUUUUAAAGAAGUCUGGGGAGGAACCGUCUCCCCGGACAAGCCAGAAGGACGGCCCUUCCCCAGUGGGAAGAAGUCCUUCCCAGGCUCCCCAAGGUCCAGGUUCCUCCUGGGGAUGGGCUGGAGUAUUUUUGCCCGCUCCUCCGCCUCCAGCCUCCUUCUGGGGAGACUCCCCUCCCCCAGGUGGGGAAGGGGUUUCUCCCCAGAAGGCACGCUCCCACCCGGGGCCUUGGCCCCCCGCCGAGUGGCCCUGAUCCUCUGCGGGAGGGCUGGUGGGCUGCCCUCCCGUGCUGGCUCCCCCUGGGUGCUUUGGGCUUCCUGGGGCGGCCUUUUGGAGGCCUCACCCGUUCCGUUGAUGGUCCAGCCACAGGGGCUGGGCCAUCAAGGGAACGGUUGGCCCCAGGCACCACCAGGGGAGGCAGCAGCAGCUUCCGGGCCACAUCGCGGCUGCUGGAGGUGAUGGCCUUCCUCCCACCAGGUCUCCCCUCCUCUGCUCCUGGAAAGGAAAGGAAAGAGACGUUGUUUGGAUUGAUUUCACAUCUCGAUAUGCUGCCGUCUCACAUCUCUGGGUGGCUGACGUGACCCCUUUGGACCAAAGCCAACCUUGGCAUUUCAGAGCGGAGUUUGUUGUUGACGGUGAACGAUGAGGGAGGGAGACCCCCAGCUUGUCGCUGCCCAGGACUAGCAAGCCGUGGAUACUUUGCCCUAGGGGAAGAAGAGCCCUCAAUGGCCCUGGCACACAUCCAGCCUGCACUUCUGUGGCAUCUCCCCUACCCAAUGUGCAAAAGGGGUUUCCACUAGAAGGCACACUCCCACCUGGUGCUUGGGCCACCUGGGCCUUGGGUUGGGAAACUGUGGAGGGCUCUGGUGGACUGCCCUCCUGUGGUGGCUUGCCCUUGGAGCUUGUUUCUUCCUGGGGCUGCCUCUUCAGUCUUUUGGGAGUCCUCACCCUCACAGGGGCUGGGCCGUCAAGGGACAGGGUGGAUUCCUGGCGGCACCCAGAACGGGCCCCAGGCACUAGGGGAGGCGGCAGCAGCAGCUUCCGGACCACCGUGUGGUUGCUGGAGGUGAUGGGCCUCCUUCCGCCAGAUCUCGCCUCCUUUGCUCCUGAAAAGAAAGGACAUUUUAUUUUUAUUCAUUUUUUCCAGUUGAAGACAUUUGAGUUCCCAGUGGAAUCUGGCCCGCUCCACCACAGCCUCCAGCUUCCUUCUGUGGAGUCUUCUUUCCCUCCCCAAGGUGGGGAAGGAGUUUCCUCCUGAAGGCACACUCCCACCUGGUGCUUUGGCCACACGCCAAGCAGCUUUGAUAUUCCCCAGGAGGGCAGGCCCCAGGCUCCAGCGCCAGGGGAGACAGCAACAACUUCCAGACCACCAUGUGGCUGCUAAAGCUGAUGGGCUUCCUUCUGCCAGAUCACUCUCCCUGUGCUCCUGGAAAAAAAAGGACAUUUUAUUUUUCUUUAUUAUUGGCUCAGGUGGGGAAGGAGCUUUCCCUCAAGGCACACUCCUGUCUGAUGUGUUGGCCACACGCUGAGCAGCCUAAAUCUUUCCCAGGAGGGCUGGUAGGCUACCCUCCGGUGGCGGCUUCCCUUUGGUGCUGCUUUCCGCCUGGGGCUGCCUCUUUGACUUCUUGGCACGCUUCACCCUUUCCAGUGAUGGUCCAGCCACAGGGGCUGGGCCCUCAAGCAAAGAGGUGGGUUCCUGUGAGGCCUGCUUGGUACUGGCCCCAGGCACCAGGGGAGGAAGCAGCAACAGCCUCUGGACCACCAUGUGGUUGCUGGAGGUAAUUUGCCAGAUCUUCUCCCAGAUCUCUCUUCCUGCACUCCUGAUAGAAAAAAAUAAGUUGCUUUUAUUUUUCACAUCUGUAUAUGCUGCCAAAAUUCACAUCGCAAGGUGGUUUAUUUUUCCUCUUUGAAUUUGUUUGGACGGAAGCAAGUCUGGGAAUGGCAUUCAAAUGCAGGAAAGUAGACAGCGAGAUGAUUUUGUGUUAGUGGGGUCUCUUAUUAAUUUCAUUAAUUUCUAGAUCAAGAACAAAUAAUAUGCAACCUUUUAUUUCAUAUGUUGUCAUUCUGGUAUUACAGUAUCUCUCCCCUCUCCCCCCCCCCUUGGCUAAUGCAAUAUAUUUAUGUUUUUGACUGAAGACAAAUUCUUCUAUUUGUAUUUGUAAGAAAAUAAAAAGACAAUAAAAACAUUCAAUCUUCGCUUUUAUCAA